CCUACGGGUGGCAGCAGUGAGGAAUAUUGGUCAAUGGGCGGGAGCCUGAACCAGCCAAGUCGCGUGAGGGAUGACGGCCCUAUGGGUUGUAAACCUCUUUUGCCGGGGAGCAAAGUGCCGCACGUGUGCGGUUUGGAGAGUACCCGGAGAAAAAGCAUCGGCUAACUCCGUGCCAGCAGCCGCGGUAAUACGGAGGAUGCGAGCGUUAUCCGGAUUUAUUGGGUUUAAAGGGCGUGUAGGCGGGAGCGCAAGUCAGAUGUGAAAACUCAGGGCUCAACCCUGAGCCUGCAUUUGAAACUGUGGUUCUUGAGUGCUGGAGAGGCAAUCGGAAUUCCGUGUGUAGCGGUGAAAUGCGUAGAUAUACGGAGGAACACCAGUGGCGAAGGCGGAUUGCUGGACAGUAACUGACGCUGAGGCGCGAAAGCGUGGGGAGCAAACAGGAUUAGAUACCCCAGUAGUC
RNAcentral lists this ribosomal RNA (460 nucleotides) under uncultured bacterium. RNAcentral describes it as "partial 16S ribosomal RNA". It matches the Rfam family "Bacterial small subunit ribosomal RNA", at positions 338 to 795 of the family's 1533-position model. The record is from RNAcentral.